Long non-coding RNA from Bufo bufo (common toad), 902 nucleotides. RefSeq lists it as uncharacterized. The transcript has 2 exons. Lineage: Eukaryota; Metazoa; Chordata; Amphibia; Anura; Bufonidae. The record is from RefSeq and is a predicted model, not a curated record.
CAAUCAGAGCUCAAUAUUAAACUACUGUGGAAAAAUAAAAGCUGCCCUGUGAUUGGCUGCUGUGGCCAAACAGGUCAAGCUUACUCUCUCUCUCUUGUUUGGAUAACUAAGGCCUAAUGGCCUUGUUACCCAUAGCAACCAAUCAGAUUCCAGCUUCCCUCUUUCUGCUGCAGGUUAGAAAAUACAAGUUAAAAAAAUGGCCUCCAUGAGAAAAAAACAACAAAAAAACUUGUUACCCAUAGCAACCAAUCAGAUUCCAGUUUCCAUCUUUCCACUGCAGGUUAGAAAAUACAAGCUGGAAUCUGAUUGGUUGGAAUGGAAAAUGCAGUUUAGCAGAAAAAUAGGACCUGCUUGCCCAUAGCAACCAAUCAGAGCUCAGUAUUAAACUGCUCUGGAAAAAUUAAAGCUGUGCUUUGAUUAGUUGGUAUGGGAAACAAGGUCAAGUUUUCCCUUUUAUUUUCUCUCUUUUGGCUUUGUUGCAGAUGGAAACCAAUCAGAACUCAGCAUUAAACUGCUGUGGAAAAAUGAAAGCUGCACUGUGAUUGGUUGCUAUGAGCAACAAGGCCUAGUGCGUUUGUAUGUAACCUCGCCACUGCCCCAUUCCCGCCAUAUCCGUGCCAAGCAUGGCAGACGUCAAGACCUAGCUCUGGCCUUAGAAAUAAAACACUAUAGACAAACCAACAGCUUUUACAUAGUAAAAAUAAAUAAAUUAAAAACACUGAGAAUUUUUUUUUUACAGACUGGUCAUAUCUGACAGACUUUUGUGCCCAAGCAGGCUUCCACUCCUGGUAGGCUGGUUGGAAUAUGGGGGUACAUACCACGGCAUUUGUCUUGUGAUGAAUGCAGAAACACAGGGAGAUUCAUAUAGAAACAAGUGGUGGUGAUGAAUUGGAAAAAAAAAA